Molecule: ribosomal RNA, 427 nt
Filed under: uncultured bacterium
Lineage: Bacteria
Description: bacterial SSU rRNA
Rfam family: Bacterial small subunit ribosomal RNA
Source: RNAcentral
UGAACGCUGGCGGCGUGCUUAACACAUGCAAGUCGAACGAACCUUCGGGUUAGUGGCGGACGGGUGAGUAACGCGUGAGAAUCUGCCCUCAGGAGGGGGAUAACGGCUGGAAACGGCCGCUAAUACCCCAUAUGCCGAGAGGUGAAAUGAAUUUCGCCUGAGGAUGAGCUCGCGUCUGAUUAGCUAGUUGGUAGGGUAAAGGCCUACCAAGGCUUCGAUCAGUAGCUGGUCUGAGAGGAUAAUCAGCCACACUGGGACUGAGACACGGCCCAGACUCCUACGGGAGGCAGCAGUGGGGAAUUUUCCGCAAUGGGCGAAAGCCUGACGGAGCAACGCCGCGUGAGGGAUGAAGGCCUCUGGGCUGUAAACCUCUUUUAUCAAGGAAGAAGAUCUGACGGUACUUGAUGAAUAAGCCACGGCUAAUUCC